UACGUAGGAGGCAAGCGUUAUCCGGAAUGACUGGGCGUAAAGGGUGCGUAGGUGGUUUGACAAGUUAGUAGCGUAACUCCGGGGCUCAACCUCGGAUCUACUACCAAAACUGUUGGGCUUGAGUGCAGGAGGGGUGAAUGGAAUUCCUAGUGUAGCGGCGGAAUGCGUAGAUAUUAGGAGGAACACCAGCGGCGAAGGCGAUUCACUGGACUGUAACUGACACUGAGGCACGAAAGCGUGGGGAGCAAACAGG
Molecule: ribosomal RNA, 253 nt
Filed under: uncultured bacterium
Lineage: Bacteria
Description: partial 16S ribosomal RNA
Rfam family: Bacterial small subunit ribosomal RNA
Source: RNAcentral